UGUGCCCUGAGGUACUUGCCAGUUGAUAAGUCCUUGAGCCGAUAAUUUAUUAUCUGGAGGGGAUAAAGUUGAUAUGGUGUGCAUGUCCGCAUGACGGGAAGCCUAAUAUAUUGCUGACCCCACCACCUUGAACCUUUCGGUUCAAGGCGCAAUCAACAGCGGUAUCGUCGGGGACAUC
RNAcentral lists this non-coding RNA (178 nucleotides) under Porticoccus sp. RNAcentral's name for it is "6S RNA". It matches the Rfam family "6S / SsrS RNA". Rfam says of the family: E. coli 6S RNA was the first non coding RNA to be sequenced, but its function was unknown until recently. It consists of 184 nucleotides that fold into an extended hairpin structure with a large single-stranded internal bulge. The record is from RNAcentral. Lineage: Bacteria; Pseudomonadati; Pseudomonadota; Gammaproteobacteria; Cellvibrionales; Porticoccaceae.